This 700-nucleotide ribosomal RNA is filed under the name uncultured bacterium. RNAcentral describes it as "bacterial SSU rRNA". It matches the Rfam family "Bacterial small subunit ribosomal RNA", at positions 806 to 1505 of the family's 1533-position model. The record is from RNAcentral.
ACGAUGUCAACUAGCCGUUGGGACUCUUGAAGUCUUAGUGGCGCAGCUAACGCACUAAGUUGACCGCCUGGGGAGUACGGCCGCAAGGUUAAAACUCAAAUGAAUUGACGGGGGCCCGCACAAGCGGUGGAGCAUGUGGUUUAAUUCGACGCAACGCGAAGAACCUUACCUGGCCUUGACAUGCAGAGAACUUUCCAGAGAUGGAUUGGUGCCUUCGGGAACUCUGACACAGGUGCUGCAUGGCCGUCGUCAGCUCGUGUCGUGAGAUGUUGGGUUAAGUCCCGUAACGAGCGCAACCCCUAUCCCUGGUUGCUAACAGGUAAUGCUGAGAACUCCAGGGAGACUGCCGGUGACAAACCGGAGGAAGGUGGGGAUGACGUCAGGUCAUCAUGGCCCUUACGGCCAGGGCUACACACGUGCUACAAUGGCGUGUACAGAGGGCUGCCAACUCGCGAGAGUGAGCCAAUCCCUUAAAACACGUCGUAGUCCGGAUCGCAGUCUGCAACUCGACUGCGUGAAGUCGGAAUCGCUAGUAAUCGCGAAUCAGAAUGUCGCGGUGAAUACGUUCCCGGGCCUUGUACACACCGCCCGUCACACCAUGGGAGUGGAUUGCACCAGAAGUAGUUAGUCUAACCUUCGGGAGGACGAUUACCACGGUGUGGUUCAUGACUGGGGUGAAGUCGUAACAAGGUACCCGUAA